AGAACACUCUUAGCACCCUACAAGCAGGUAUGUGCUUACCAGCAAACUAAAGCAAAUGGAAAUUAUGAAGCAUGAUCGCCACUAGCGAGGUGCUGCUGAACUAUAAGGCUUCAGAUGGUCAGAUAAAGUACCUGAUGCUGAAAAACAGGAAAUUGAAUCUUGUCUCCAAAAUGUGCCUUUUGUCAUGCACUGUUACAGCUAUAUUUCUUGGAAGUGAAUCUUGCCAGAUUGUGGCAUGGCACUCAACUCAUCAAAGAAGCCAGUGAGUUCCAGUCUGGCACUGUGAGAAUUGCAGAAGAAAUCUCAAACUUGGCCCCUGCCUCCAAGAAGCUGACAAUGGGUAAGUCAACCG
Molecule: long non-coding RNA, 352 nt
Filed under: Rhinopithecus roxellana (golden snub-nosed monkey)
Lineage: Eukaryota; Metazoa; Chordata; Mammalia; Primates; Cercopithecidae
Description: lncRNA (ENSRROG00000045846.1)
Source: RNAcentral